UUCUGCUAUUCCAUUUUUUAUUAUUCUGUUGGAAUAACCUGUAUACGCGGACUACUCUAUACUUGGUGAAAUUCUUCUAUUAUUCCAUUUUUUAUUAUUAUGUUGGAAUAACCUGUCUAUGCGAAAUACCGCAUACAUGGUGAAAUUCUUCUGUUAUUCCAUUCUUUAUUAUUCUGUUGAAACAACAUGUCUAGGGGUGCU
This 201-nucleotide long non-coding RNA is filed under the name Panax ginseng (ginseng). Its description in RNAcentral is "long non-coding RNA (PGIN_LNC002180)". Lineage: Eukaryota; Viridiplantae; Streptophyta; Magnoliopsida; Apiales; Araliaceae. The record is from RNAcentral.